UUGCAAUUGGAUUGAGAACAACGUACAAACCUUAUCGAUAAACAAUUGGAGGGCAAGUCUGGUGCCAGCAGCCGCGGUAAUUCCAGCUCCAAUAGCGUAUAUUAACGUUGUUGCAGUUAAAAAGCUCGUAGUUGAAAUGAAGGGUAGUUGUGUAAUGAAUACAUUCGUGUAUUUUGUUAUUCUACUACCCUCCUUCUAAAUUCGAUAUAUGAGUAUUAAUUUACUUGUAUAUGGUUUUAGACUUUUACUGUGAGAAAAUUAGAGUGUUCAAAGCAGGCAUUUGCUUGAAUAUAUUAGCAUGGAAUAAUCAUGUAUGAUUUUCAUGAUGUAUUUGAUUGGUUUGGUUCAUGAGAAUAAGAUUAAAAGGGACAGUUGGGGGUAUUCAUAUUCAAUAGUCAGAGGUGAAAUUCUCGGAUUUAUGGAAGAUGAACAAGUGCGAAAGCAUUUACCAAGGAUGUUUUCAUUAAUCAAGAACGAAAGUUAGGGGAUCGAAGAGGAUUAGAUACCCUCGU
Molecule: ribosomal RNA, 512 nt
Filed under: uncultured Blastocystis sp.
Lineage: Eukaryota; Bigyra; Opalinata; Blastocystidae
Description: bacterial SSU rRNA
Rfam family: Eukaryotic small subunit ribosomal RNA
Source: RNAcentral